UAACCUCAUUUACAUCAUCACCUCCAGUC
RNAcentral lists this small RNA (29 nucleotides) under Bombyx mori (domestic silkworm). RNAcentral describes it as "ovarian small RNA-18768". Lineage: Eukaryota; Metazoa; Arthropoda; Insecta; Lepidoptera; Bombycidae. The record is from RNAcentral.